RNAcentral lists this long non-coding RNA (833 nucleotides) under Nicotiana benthamiana. RNAcentral describes it as "long non-coding RNA (NBEN_LNC011184)". The record is from RNAcentral. Lineage: Eukaryota; Viridiplantae; Streptophyta; Magnoliopsida; Solanales; Solanaceae.
GAUUGAAAAAGUAAAGCUCUACAAGCUUCAAGAAGUGUCCUUUGUUUUCUUUCAACAACACCAUUUUGUUGAGGAGUGUGGGGACAAGUAGUUUGAUGAAUAAUGCCCUGUUGGUUGAAGAAAGAAGUACCAUCAAGACUAGACCCCAACUCCAAAACAUUAUCACUUCUUAUAGUCUGGACAAUAGCAUUAAACUGAGUUUUAACCAUACACAGAAAGGACUUAAUCAGGCAGAAAACAUUGCUUUUAGACCCCAGUAGAUGUGUCCAGGUUGCUCUAGAAAAAUCAUCAACUAUAGUAAGAAAGUACCUUGAGCCAGAGGAGGUGGGUGUGUGACUGAGUUUUAACCAUACACAGAAAGGACUUAAUCAGGCAGAAAACAUUGCUUUUAGACCCCAGUAGAUGUGUCCAGGUUGCUCUAGAAAAAUCAUCAACUAUAGUAAGAUAGUACCUUGAGCCAGAGGAGGUGGGUGUGUGAUAAGAACCACAAGUAUCUACAUGAAUCAAUUGGAAAGGUCCACAUGUACUGAUUGAACUAUCAUGGAAGGGAACCCUGGUUUGCCUAGCCAUAGGACAAAUAGAACAAGGAAAUGGUUGUUUAGAAGCAAGGGAAAAUGACAAAGCAGAAAUGUGUUUCAUGUUUGCAAAAGGAAUAUGAGCCAGUCUUAAUUGCCAAAUGUAAUUCAUGUCAUUUGCAUAAGCAUUAUUUCAAAUGGAACUAUUUACAUUUAAAGGCAAAGCAACAGUCUUAUGGCUAGAAGAAUAGACAGGAUUACAAGAAUCAGAAAGGGAACAUACAGAAGCAGAUGAGCAACAAUUAAAAGAAGAAUGUG